UGCACAGCAGGGAGCUGGUGGAUCUUUUGCAGUGAAGGCUGCAGGCAGGCCUCUGGGAGCGGAGGCGAUAUCUGGACCACUGGAAUCACACAGAAACCCACGGCUAGAGGCCAGAGUAGUUACAACAAAGCACUGGCUCAGAAUAACAUACUUCCAGCUUACUUAAAGGCAGCACAAGCACGGGAUUGGCUAACACUUACCCACAGGUGUUUCACAAGUGCUCCCAGGUGCUCAUUUGGUCUCCAACAUGGCCGCCUCCUAUACUGUAGACACACAGCGGUGCCUUUGGCCAUUUGGUCCCCGCACUCCCGGCUCCCAGAACCUGCAUCACCUCUGCUGCUGACCACGCCGCAUCCCCACAUGGCCGCACAGCACCGCGAGCAACCGCGCUUGCAACGGACAGACCCCAGAACCCGCAGAGGUUUUCAUUCCAUCCACAUAUUAUCUGCCAGAUAAUUGUAUAGUGUAUGCCCAGCUUAAGGAGGAGGAGUCGGACAUGGCCAGGGAAAAGUCCCCCAGCUGAAAGAGGGCUACGUGUUCCACAAACGGCGAUUACGUCAUGCAUCUUGGAGGAAGAUUUAGUACGCGCCCAGCAGCAAAGGUAUAUGUGCAUAAGCUUUACAGCCGAAGACACGGAGAUGAUUGAGAGCUGGCUUUUUCUUGGACCACGCCUCCAGGGGCAUCUUAACUUUUAUGGCUACAGUGGGCACACAGUUUUUAAGAUAUACUGUAAUAGAUACUGCUUCCGCCCAAAAGCUUUUUUCCAUGCCUGCGUCACUCAACAUUGUCUGUACUCUCUCAACAAUUGUAUGAUUUGCACACUCACUCACACCAUUUUGUUCUGGCAUGUAAGCAAUUGUUAGUUGAUGCUGUAUACCAUAUUUUUCCAGGAACUGUGCUAAAACUUUGUUGUCAUACUCUCUGCCAUUGUCGGAUCUCAAGACUUUUAAUUUCAGACCUGUUUUUAGUCUCAACCAGGUUCUUGUAUUCCCCAAUUUUAUUGACAACUUCUCUUUUAGCUUUCAUGAAAUAUACAUGUGUCAUC
Molecule: long non-coding RNA, 1045 nt
Organism: Pseudophryne corroboree (corroboree frog)
Lineage: Eukaryota; Metazoa; Chordata; Amphibia; Anura; Myobatrachidae
Exons: 3
Source: RefSeq, a predicted model, not a curated record